This 77-nucleotide transfer RNA is filed under the name Nocardioides malaquae. Its description in RNAcentral is "tRNA-Gly". It matches the Rfam family "tRNA". Rfam says of the family: Transfer RNA (tRNA) molecules are approximately 80 nucleotides in length. Their secondary structure includes four short double-helical elements and three loops (D, anti-codon, and T loops). Further hydrogen bonds mediate the characteristic L-shaped molecular structure. tRNAs have two regions of fundamental functional importance: the anti-codon, which is responsible for specific mRNA codon recognition, and the 3' end, to which the tRNAs corresponding amino acid is attached (by aminoacyl-tRNA synthetases). tRNAs cope with the degeneracy of the genetic code in two manners: having more than one tRNA (with a specific anti-codon) for a particular amino acid; and 'wobble' base-pairing, i.e. permitting non-standard base-pairing at the 3rd anti-codon position. Lineage: Bacteria; Bacillati; Actinomycetota; Actinomycetes; Propionibacteriales; Nocardioidaceae. The record is from RNAcentral.
CGCAUCAUGGUCUAGUGGUUAUGACAUCUGCUUGCCAAGCAGAAGAGCUCGGGUUCAAUUCUCGAGUGGCGCGGCCA